Pelobates cultripes (western spadefoot toad) is the source of this 273-nucleotide non-coding RNA. The record is from the annotation of a GenBank genome assembly. Lineage: Eukaryota; Metazoa; Chordata; Amphibia; Anura; Pelobatidae.
CACCACUGUCCUACGACUCACAAGAAGCAUCAAGAAUCCCAAGGUGGGGAUUGUACCACCCACGCGCUAUCCAUCAAGCAGUGCACCUGCUCAUAAUAUCAUGAGUAUAUUUUAGCCUACUUUUUAUUAUCAAAACCAUAACAGCUAUUCAGGGAGCACUAUAUAUUUUAUCUUUAUCCCGAGCAGGAUUAUCCUAUUGGACUGCUAUACCGAAGAACACCAGAGACACUCCACAUAUCCUUGUUCCUCUUCAUGCCAUAUAAAUCAGAGCUG